GACGAACGCUGGCGGCGUGCUUAACACAUGCAAGUCGAACGGAAAGGCCCUGCUUUUGUGGGGUGCUCGAGUGGCGAACGGGUGAGUAACACGUGAGUAACCUGCCCUUGACUUUGGGAUAACUUCAGGAAACUGGGGCUAAUACCGGAUAGGAGCUCCUGCUGCAUGGUGGGGGUGGGAAAGUUUCGGGGGUUGGGGAUGGACUCGCGGCUUAUCAGCUUGUUGGUGGGGUAGUGGCUUACCAAGGCUUUGACGGGUAGCCGGCCUGAGAGGGUGACCGGCCACAUUGGGACUGAGAUACGGCCCAGACUCCUACGGGAGGCAGCAGUGGGGAAUAUUGCACAAUGGGCGGAAGCCUGAUGCAGCAACGCCGCGUGCGGGAUGACGGCCUUCGGGUUGUAAACCGCUUUCGCCUGUGACGAAGCGUGAGUGACGGUAAUGGGUAAAGAAGCACCGGCUAACUACGG
RNAcentral lists this ribosomal RNA (467 nucleotides) under uncultured bacterium. Its description in RNAcentral is "partial 16S ribosomal RNA". It matches the Rfam family "Bacterial small subunit ribosomal RNA", at positions 28 to 506 of the family's 1533-position model. The record is from RNAcentral.